Molecule: ribosomal RNA, 775 nt
Filed under: uncultured Neocallimastigales
Lineage: Eukaryota; Fungi; Neocallimastigomycota; Neocallimastigomycetes; Neocallimastigales
Description: partial large subunit ribosomal RNA
Rfam family: Eukaryotic large subunit ribosomal RNA
Source: RNAcentral
UACGACUACAUAUCAGGCAUAUCAAUAAGCGGAGGAAAAGAAACUAACAAGGAUUCCCCUAGUAACGGCGAGUGAAGCGGGAAGAGCUCAAAUUUGAAAUCUUAAAGGGUUUCCCUUUACGAAUUGUAGUUUAAAGAAGUGUUUUCUGUUGGAGUUUCGGUAAAAGUUCUUUGGAAUAGGACAUCAUAGAGGGUGAGAAUCCCGUAUUUGACCGUUACUUUCCAGCUGUGUGAUACACUUUCAAAGAGUCGGAUUGUUUGGGAAUGCAGUCCAAGAUGGGUGGUAAAUUUCAUCUAAAGCUAAAUAUUGGCGAGAGACCGAUAGCGAACAAGUACCGUGAGGGAAAGAUGAAAAGAACUUUGAAAAGAGAGUUAAACAGUACGUGAAAUUGUCAAAAGGGAAGCGUUUGACACCAGUGUUGUUUAGUUGAAAAUCAAUCCAAUAGUUUUUGAUUCUAAGUAGUAUUGACUUCAUCAGCUUGCUGCUUUCUUCUCAGAAAUUAUUGAAUGCACUUUUCAGUUAACAAGUCAACAUCAAUUUCUUUUGUUGUAAAAGGGUAAGAGGAAGGUGGCUUGCGCUUCGGCUCAAGUGUUUAUAGCCUUUUAUCUCUGCAAUCGGAGAGAUUGAGGUCUGCAGCGUAGAUCCUUCGGGGUUAGAUACAUUGGUGCUAAGCUAUAGCCUUGUAUAGACAACUUGUUGACUAUGCUCAGUCAUGUAGCUUACUCGCUGAUGCUAUUUUACCUACGCUUAGGAUGUUGAGUAGCGACAUACGCAC